RNAcentral lists this ribosomal RNA (810 nucleotides) under uncultured bacterium. RNAcentral describes it as "bacterial SSU rRNA". It matches the Rfam family "Bacterial small subunit ribosomal RNA", at positions 8 to 796 of the family's 1533-position model. The record is from RNAcentral.
AGAGUUUGAUCCUGGCUCAGAUUGAACGCUGGCGGCACGCUUAACACAUGCAAGUCGAGCGGGUGGGCAGGAAGGAGUGGAUAUGGGUUGUCUAUUGCUUUCUGCCCACUGAUAGCGGCGGACGGGUGAGUAAUACGUGGGAUCUGCCCUGAAGAGUGGGACAACCUUGGGAAACUAGGGCUAAUACCGCAUACGAUUCUGAGGAAGAAAGUGAGCUUAGGCACACGCUUUAGGAUGAACCUACGUCCGAUUAGCUAGUUGGUAGGGUAAAGGCCUCCCAAGGCGACGAUCGGUAGCUGGUCUGAGAGGACGAACAGCCACACUGGGACUGAGACACGGCCCAGACUCCUACGGGAGGCAGCAGUGGGGAAUAUUGGACAAUGGGGGCAACCCUGAUCCAGCGAUGCCGCGUGUGUGAAGAAGGCCUGCGGGUUGUAAAGCACUUUUGUUAGGGAAGAGGUAGCAGAUUAAGAGUUGGUUAAGCUGACGGUACCUAACGAAUAAGCACCGGCUAACUCUGUGCCAGCAGCCGCGGUAAUACAGAGGGUGCGAGCGUUAAUCGGAAUUACUGGGCGUAAAGGGCGCGUAGGUGGGAUAAUAAGUUCUAUGUGAAAUACCUGUGCUUAACGUAGGAGUUGCAUAGGAUACUGUUAUUCUAGAGUGAAGUAGAGGGUGGCGGAAUUUCCGGUGUAGCGGUGAAAUGCGUAGAUAUCGGAAGGAACACCAGUGGCGUAGGCGGCCACCUGGGCUUUAACUGACACUGAGGCGCGAAAGCGUGGGUAGAAACAGGAUUAGAUACCCUAGUAGUCC